Molecule: unclassified non-coding RNA, 283 nt
Filed under: Hevea brasiliensis (rubber tree)
Lineage: Eukaryota; Viridiplantae; Streptophyta; Magnoliopsida; Malpighiales; Euphorbiaceae
Source: RNAcentral
GGGUACUGUAAUUCGAUUAUCAACAUCUAAAAGUCGAAAGUUUCAAGGUUUUAUUUCAUCAAUUGGAAUUAUGUAAGAAUCAAAUUCAAUAUUUUUAAAAUCAGAAUAUUCGUAAGAUCAAUAUCAUUGAUGUCCAAUGGAUUUAAUAGUAAUUAUUGGGCUAUUGAUUUCGUCUAAGAUAUAAAUUAGUCGGAGAGAUGGCACGGCAAUAAAAAUUAGAGUAAUUGCAGGUAGGACCGUUCAAAUAAUUUCAAUUGUCUGUCCUUCAAGUAAGUAACGGUGG